Gasterosteus aculeatus aculeatus (three-spined stickleback) is the source of this 481-nucleotide long non-coding RNA. The record is from Ensembl. NCBI's taxonomy places the organism in Eukaryota, Metazoa, Chordata, Actinopteri, Perciformes, Gasterosteidae.
CGUGUCCCCGAGCUGGAGCCGACUACGAAGGUGUUCCGUGUCCCCGAGCUGGAGCCGACUACGGAGGUGUUCCGUGUCCCCGAGCUGGAGCCGACUACGGAGGUGUUCCCUGUCCCCGAGCCGACGGCGACAACCGCGGAGGUGUUCAGUGUCCCCGAGCCGACGGCGACAACCGCGGAGGUGUUCAGUGUCCCCGAGCUGCCGCCGCCGACCCCGGAGGUUUCCCGUGUCCCCGAGCCUGCCAUUCUAGAGACGUUCUGUGCCCUGCAGUCGCCGCUCCGGAGCCGGCUUGGUGACCGCCCGCCGGGCCGACCCCCAGAGGCUCCCCGCUCGUCUGGCCACCCGCCGGGCCGCCCGCCAGAGUUUCCCGGGUGGUCCGACCAACGUCUCUGGUUUCCCUGCCCCCCCACCCCUUGUUUUGCUCUAGUGUGAGCCACCUGGAAGUCGGUCCUUGAGGGGGGGGUACUGUCACGGUGUGGUU